GACGAACGCUGGCGGCGUGCUUAACACAUGCAAGUCGAACGGAAAGGCCCUGCUUUUGUGGGGUGCUCGAGUGGCGAACGGGUGAGUAACACGUGAGUAACCUGCCCUUGACUUUGGGAUAACUUCAGGAAACUGGGGCUAAUACCGGAUAGGAGCUCCUGCUGCAUGGUGGGGGUUGGAAAGUUUCGGCGGUUGGGGAUGGACUCGCGGCUUAUCAGCUUGUUGGUGGGGUAGUGGCUUACCAAGGCUUUGACGGGUAGCCGGCCUGAGAGGGUGACCGGCCACAUUGGGACUGAGGUACGGCCCAGACUCCUACGGGAGGCAGCAGGGGGGAAUAUUGCACAAUGGGCGGAAGCCUGAUGCAGCAACGCCGCGUGCGGGAUGACGGCCUUCGGGUUGUAAACCGAUUUCGCCUGUGACGAAGCGUGAGUGACGGUAAUGGGUAAAGAAGCACCGGCUAACUACGUG
This 468-nucleotide ribosomal RNA is filed under the name uncultured bacterium. RNAcentral's name for it is "partial 16S ribosomal RNA". It matches the Rfam family "Bacterial small subunit ribosomal RNA", at positions 28 to 507 of the family's 1533-position model. The record is from RNAcentral.